UACGUAGGGGGCGAGUAUUGUUCGGAAUUACUGGGCAUAAAGGGUGCGUAGGCGGGGUAUCAAGCAGGAUGUGAAAUUCCAUGGCUCAACUAUGAAACUGCAUCCUGAACUGGUACUCUUGAGUGCAGCAGGGGAGUGCAGAAUUCCCGGUGUAGGGGUGAAAUCUAUAGAUAUCGGGAAGAAUACCGGUCGCGAAGGCGGCACUCUGGGCUGUAACUGACGCUGAGGCACGAAAGCGUGGGGAUCGAACCGG
Molecule: ribosomal RNA, 253 nt
Filed under: uncultured bacterium
Lineage: Bacteria
Description: partial 16S ribosomal RNA
Rfam family: Bacterial small subunit ribosomal RNA
Source: RNAcentral